Molecule: ribosomal RNA, 253 nt
Filed under: uncultured bacterium
Lineage: Bacteria
Description: partial 16S ribosomal RNA
Rfam family: Bacterial small subunit ribosomal RNA
Source: RNAcentral
UACGAAGGGGGCUAGCGUUGCUCGGAAUUACUGGGCGUAAAGGGCGCGUAGGCGGACAGUUUAGUCAGAGGUGAAAGCCCAGGGCUCAACCUUGGAAUAGCCUUUGAUACUGGCUGUCUUGAGUUCGGGAGAGGUGAGUGGAAUGCCGAGUGUAGAGGUGAAAUUCGUAGAUAUUCGGCGGAACACCAGUGGCGAAGGCGACUCACUGGCCCGAUACCGACGCUGAGGCGCGAAAGCGUGGGGAGCAAACAGG